AUGGUGAAGCUGGGGUGUUCUCGGUUUCUUCUUUCCUGGCAUGCUCUUCUCUGCCUUUCGGCGAUUUGGGUGUUGGCCACGGCCGAUGUACCGGCAGGCCAGCGUCCCGACUGCCCGGCUAAGUGUGGCAACGUCGACAUUCCAUUCCCGUUUGGCAUCGACGAGAAGUGCGCGUUGCACAGCGGCUUUACCAUCAACUGCACGUCUGUGGUUGGCGGCGUCAGCAAGCCUUUUGUAAAUACAACGUGGUAUAACGAGCCGAUCGAGGUGACCAAGAUCUCCUUGCCUGACGGCAAGGCCUGGAUGAACGCCAUGACGAUCUCGUCGCAGUGCAAUGACACAGCCACUGGUACUAUGAUUUACCAAUUUGGCUACCUGGAUUUCACGGAUACACCUUUCUGGAUAUCGGAUGAUAACAUAAUUAUCGUCGUCGGAUGCAAUGCUACAGCUUAUACGAGCAGCUCUCGUGUUGCUCGUCCGAGUGCAGUCCGUACUAUUCCCCUGUGAAUGACACAUGUGAUGGUGCCGGCUGUUGUCAAGCUGAUGUCCCGAAAAACGUACCGGAUUAUUAUGGCUAUUUCAACAACAACACGGCAGAAACAUGGACAGACGGCAGUCCUUGCAUCUACGUGGUACUGGUGGAUAAGGCGGCCUUCAGUUUCAAAACUAGCUAUAUGUCAAAUCCAGACUGUUGGAAGAGACGUACAAAGGUGGAGUUCCUGUUGUGCUGAACUGGCGAAUAGAAGCGUCGAAUUGCGAGCAAGCUAAGAAGAACACGACUUCAUAUGCAUGUGUUAACAGCAACAGUAUAUGUGUGGAUUCCACCACCAUGAAACAAGGUUACCGCUGCAAUUGCUCCAAUGGGUACAAAGGCAACCCAUACAUCACGAACGGAUGCCAAGAUAUUGACGAGUGCCUUGAAAAUGCUAAUAUCUGCGGCUCUGGAAUCUGCGAGAACAUGUUAGGGCAUUACACCUGCUCAUGUCACGGACGGCAAGAUUGGACGGAUGGCACUUGUCAAUCCCGUUUUCCGGUGAUGCCUGUUGUAGGUGCAACUGUUGGACUAGUCGUCUUUGUGAUUGCUAUAGCCUGCGCAUGCAUGAUCCAAGAGAGAAGAAAGCUACACAAGAUGAAGCGGGAGACUUUCGGCAGCACGGUGGUCUGAUAUUAUUUGAUGAGAUGAGGUCAAAGCAAGGUAUUACAUUCAAAAUCUUCACGGAAGAAGAACUGCAGCAAGCCACAAACAAGUUCAGCGAACAACAAGUACUAGGUCAAGGGGGCUAUGGGACUGUGUACAAGGGACUUCUCAAGGGCGACGUGGAAGUAGCUGACAAGAGAUGCAAGACGGUUGAUGAGCAACAGAAGAAAGAAUUCGGAAAAGAGAUGUUAAUCCUGUCCCAGGUCAACCAUAGAAACAUUGUGAAGCUCCUCGGGUGUUGCCUCAAAGUGGAAGUCCCUAUGCUGGUAUACUAGUUCGUCCCAAAUGGCACCCUCUUCCAGCUCAUACACGGUACCCAUGGCAUGUGUAUCCCCUUGUCUACUCGCUUGGGAAUCGCCCACGAGUCCGCGGACGCGCUCGCCUACCUUCACUCAUCGACUUCGACGCCGAUCCUCCACGGGGAUGUCAAGUCCUCUAACAUUCUUCUUGACACGGACCACCAAGCUAAAGUGUCUGACUUUGGCGCCUCCAUCCUGGCACCAACUGAUAAGUCACAAUUCAUCACACUUGUACAUGGAACAUGCGGGUACCUUGACCCGAAGUACAUGCAAACCAACCUGCUGACGGACAAGAGCGACGUGUACAGCUUUGGGGUUGUUUUGUUGGAACUACUCACGGCCAAAUUGCCAUUUAAUUUCAAUCCGGAUGUCCCUGCCCACGAGAAGAGCCUAUCGAUGAUGUUUAUGUAUGCCAUGAAGGAGAAUAAGCUCGACCAGAUCUUGGAUAUUGAGAUCAAGGAUGGGGAUAACACAGAGAUUAUUAAAGAGAUCGCGGAGCUAGCGGUGCGAUGCUUAGAGAUGUGUGGUGACAAUAGGCAAUCCAUGAAGGAAGUUGCGGAGAAGCUUGAUAGUCUGAGGAAGGUGAUGCAACAUCCAUGGGUACAGCGGAACCCUGAAGAGACGGAAUGCCUACUUGGGGAGGCCUCAUCAAUGGCCAGCUCGACAAUAACUAGUGUUGCAUAUUUCAGCAUCGAGAAGAAAGUUGUUAACGAUCUGCAGUCUGGUCGUUAA
This 2229-nucleotide ribosomal RNA is filed under the name Triticum aestivum (bread wheat). RNAcentral describes it as "partial small subunit ribosomal RNA". Lineage: Eukaryota; Viridiplantae; Streptophyta; Magnoliopsida; Poales; Poaceae. The record is from RNAcentral.